Molecule: long non-coding RNA, 969 nt
Organism: Leopardus geoffroyi (Geoffroy's cat)
Lineage: Eukaryota; Metazoa; Chordata; Mammalia; Carnivora; Felidae
Exons: 3
Source: RefSeq, a predicted model, not a curated record
AUGGGAGACGAUAAAACGCGCACGUGCAGAAGGACAGAGAGGCAAUGACAUAGGGGCUGUGACCUACCCCGGCGACUACUGACGUCAAGAUGCUGCGUCAGAAGGCGGGGCCUGUGCUUCCGGAGGCGGUUGGCCGCGGGUAGCCGACCGAAGACACGGUUAAGGGGAGACUACUGCAGUUUCCUGAGGCUGCCUCUUGGGGGCGCCUGGGUGGCUCAGUUCCUUAAGUGACUCUCGAUUUCAGCUCAGGUCGUGCGUGAUCUCUUAGUUGAGUGAACUAUUCCAUUAUACAGAUGAAAAAACCAAAGCACAGAGAAAAUCAGUAACAUACAAGACUACAAAGCUACAGUCUCUUACUCUAUUUUUCCUGUCAUUUCCCCUCCACUCCACUCCUGACUUCCUCAGAAUGACAUGAACCAGAAAAGCUGGAGGAUUUCUGAACCAGUGGCCUCCCAACAUUUUCGAUCAUAUGCUCCUCAGUGAGUAUUUCCUUAUAAACUGUAACAUAUAUACGUUUGUAUUAAUAUAUACCUUCUAUAUACAAAAUUAAAGGAUAAAAAUUAAAAAUAAAAGUGAAUGGAUAAGCUAAUAUUUCCUUCUCUACACUUACUCUUGCCCAUUACUCUCUGGAAACAAUUGAGUAGAUUCUAAAUAACAUUUACCCCUCAGAUUUCUAUGCACCAAUGAGUUACAAUUAAUUUGUUGUUUUGAGAUCAAUGGUAAUAAUAAUCAAACUCAAAGAUUGCCUCGGAGAACCAGAUUUUACAUAGUUCUUUUCUCCCUCUUCUCUCACGCUCUGUUUUAGCAUGGAAAUGGCAGGGAGCACAGAGAGGAGGUUAUGGUACAAAGCAUGAGCUAUCUGUUUUCUGAUUUGGGUUGUGUGAUUCCAUUUUUUCUGCGUCCUUAUUCUUAGGCUCUUGACAUCUGAUUUCGUCUUCUGAAAAUAAAUUCUUUACCAUAACACCAAUA